GGAGAGAUGACUCAGCGGUUAGAGCACUGGCUGUUCUUCCAGAGGACCUGGGUUUGAGUCCCUGUCCCCUCG
This 72-nucleotide transfer RNA is filed under the name Mus musculus (house mouse). It matches the Rfam family "tRNA". From Rfam's summary of the family: Transfer RNA (tRNA) molecules are approximately 80 nucleotides in length. Their secondary structure includes four short double-helical elements and three loops (D, anti-codon, and T loops). Lineage: Eukaryota; Metazoa; Chordata; Mammalia; Rodentia; Muridae. RNAcentral also lists the same sequence under 1 other name. The record is from Rfam by way of RNAcentral.